RNAcentral lists this ribosomal RNA (124 nucleotides) under Escherichia coli. Its description in RNAcentral is "partial 16S ribosomal RNA". The stretch from base 18 to 124 matches the Rfam family "Bacterial small subunit ribosomal RNA", at positions 1 to 100 of the family's 1533-position model. Lineage: Bacteria; Pseudomonadati; Pseudomonadota; Gammaproteobacteria; Enterobacterales; Enterobacteriaceae. The record is from RNAcentral.
UUGAGCAUCAAACUUUUAAAUUGAAGAGUUUGAUCAUGGCUCAGAUUGAACGCUGGCGGCAGGCCUAACACAUGCAAGUCGAACGGUAACAGGAAGCAGCUUGCUGUUUCGCUGACGAGUGGCG